GAUGAACGCUAGCGAUAGGCCUAACACAUGCAAGUCGAGGGGCAUCACAUGAAGUAGCAAUACGGAUGGUGGCGACCGGCGCACGGGUGAGUAACACGUAUGCAACCUGCCUUCAACAAGGGGAUAACCCGUUGAAAGACGGACUAAUACCCUAUAACACAGGGGUCCCGCAUGGGAAUAUUUGUUAAAGGACAACCGGUUGAAGAUGGGCAUGCGUUCCAUUAGCUAGUUGGCGGGGUAACGGCCCACCAAGGCAACGAUGGAUAGGGGAACUGAGAGGUUUAUCCCCCACACUGGUACUGAGACACGGACCAGACUCCUACGGGAGGCAGCAGUGAGGAAUAUUGGUCAAUGGACGCAAGUCUGAACCAGCCACGUCGCGUGAAGGAAGACGGCCCUACGGGUUGUAAACUUCUUUUAUACGGGAAUAAAGUGCCCCACGCGUGGGGUUUUGCAUGUACCGUAUGAAUAAGGAUCGGCUAACUCCGUGCCAGCAGCCGCGGUAAAUACG
Molecule: ribosomal RNA, 511 nt
Filed under: uncultured bacterium
Lineage: Bacteria
Description: bacterial SSU rRNA
Rfam family: Bacterial small subunit ribosomal RNA
Source: RNAcentral